GCGGCGUGCUUAACACAUGCAAGUCGAACGGAAAGGCCCUUCGGGGUACUCGAGUGGCGAACGGGUGAGUAACACGUGGGUGAUCUGCCCUGCACUUUGGGAUAAGCCUGGGAAACUGGGUCUAAUACCGAAUAGGACCACGCGCUUCAUGGUGUGUGGUGGAAAGCUUUUGCGGUGUGGGAUGGGCCCGCGGCCUAUCAGCUUGUUGGUGGGGUAAUGGCCUACCAAGGCGACGACGGGUAGCCGGCCUGAGAGGGUGACCGGCCACACUGGGACUGAGAUACGGCCCAGACUCCUACGGGAGGCAGCAGUGGGGAAUAUUGCACAAUGGGCGCAAGCCUGAUGCAGCGACGCCGCGUGAGGGAUGACGGCCUUCGGGUUGUAAACCUCUUUCAAUAGGGACGAAGCGCAAGUGACGGUACCUAUAGAAGAAGCACCGGCCAACUACGUGCCAGCAGCCGCGGUAAUACGUAGGGUGCGAGCGUUGUCCGGAAUUACUGGGCGUAAAGAGCUCGUAGGUGGUUUGUCGCGUUGUUCGUGAAAACUCACAGCUUAACUGUGGGCGUGCGGGCGAUACGGGCAGACUAGAGUACUGCAGGGGAGACUGGAAUUCCUGGUGUAGCGGUGGAAUGCGCAGAUAUCAGGAGGAACACCGGUGGCGAAGGCGGGUCUCUGGGCAGUAACUGACGCUGAGGAGCGAAAGCGUGGGGAGCGAACAGGAUUAGAUACCCUGGUAGUCCACGCCGUAAACGGUGGGUACUAGGUGUGGGUUCCUUCCUUGGGAUCCGUGCCGUAGCUAACGCAUUAAGUACCCCGCCUGGGGAGUACGGCCGCAAGGCUAAAACUCAAAGGAAUUGACGGGGGCCCGCACAAGCGGCGGAGCAUGUGGAUUAAUUCGAUGCAACGCGAAGAACCUUACCUGGGUUUGACAUGCACAGGACGCCGGCAGAGAUGUCGGUUCCCUUGUGGCCUGUGUGCAGGUGGUGCAUGGCUGUCGUCAGCUCGUGUCGUGAGAUGUUGGGUUAAGUCCCGCAACGAGCGCAACCCUUGUCCUAUGUUGCCAGCGGGUUAUGCCGGGGACUCGUAGGAGACUGCCGGGGUCAACUCGGAGGAAGGUGGGGAUGACGUCAAGUCAUCAUGCCCCUUAUGUCCAGGGCUUCACACAUGCUACAAUGGCCGGUACAAAGGGCUGCGAUGCCGUGAGGUGGAGCGAAUCCUUUCAAAGCCGGUCUCAGUUCGGAUCGGGGUCUGCAACUCGACCCCGUGAAGUCGGAGUCGCUAGUAAUCGCAGAUCAGCAACGCUGCGGUGAAUACGUUCCCGGGCCUUGUACACACCGCCCGUCACGUCAUGAAAGUCGGUAACACCCGAAGCCGGUGGCCUAACCCUUGUGGAGGGAGCCGUCGAAGGUG
RNAcentral lists this ribosomal RNA (1410 nucleotides) under Mycolicibacterium mucogenicum. Its description in RNAcentral is "bacterial SSU rRNA". It matches the Rfam family "Bacterial small subunit ribosomal RNA". The record is from RNAcentral. RNAcentral also lists the same sequence under 1 other name. Lineage: Bacteria; Bacillati; Actinomycetota; Actinomycetes; Mycobacteriales; Mycobacteriaceae.